AUAAAACAUAAAAUUGUCAACUUUCUUUUUCACAAAUAUAAUAAUAUACCAAAGAAGGAUAAAUGUAAAUACACCUUGAAAUAGUCAAAAGAAGUUUUACUACAGGAACAGGGUUGUGAAACAUUUUGUUUUAUAGUGUUUUAAAGUACUGUAAAUUCAGAAAUUAUUGCCUGCAUGUAUUAUUGCGAUUUUGUCAUUUAAGACUUAAAGUUUAUUUUAAUUUUUAAGAUUUUAAGAAAAAUUAUAAUUCAUAUAAAAGAUUUCAAAAUGCGAGUUUAAAUUAUUGCGUUUGCAACUCUGUUGCAUUUUUCGCAAUAUAAAAUCCUUGCAAUAAUUUCUGAAUUUGCAGUAAUUUAUUAGGCUGUGCAUAAGUCAUAAUAUUUUCUUUGAACAGAACAUCUGAGCCUAUUGAAUUAAACCAAGUUGUGAAUUAUGGUUUAGGUACUUUAUGUACAGUGAUUUGUUUUAUUUAAAUGGAUGACUCUAAUCUAAAUACUCAAUACCAUCCUUUUU
RNAcentral lists this long non-coding RNA (513 nucleotides) under Mytilus galloprovincialis (Mediterranean mussel). Lineage: Eukaryota; Metazoa; Mollusca; Bivalvia; Mytilida; Mytilidae. The record is from RNAcentral.